This 93-nucleotide transfer RNA is filed under the name Microbispora rosea subsp. rosea. Its description in RNAcentral is "tRNA-Gly". The record is from RNAcentral. Lineage: Bacteria; Bacillati; Actinomycetota; Actinomycetes; Streptosporangiales; Streptosporangiaceae.
GGGGGUCCGGGUGACGGCGAUCGCGGCGGCGCGGCCGUCGUCGGUGACCGAGUUCCAGGUCGAAUAGCCGGGGAUCUCGCCUCCGUGCCCCCA